GAUUGAUUCCCCUUGGUGUAUGAAGGAAGGAAAGGAUAACUACAGAACAGGAAGCUGCUGGAAUUCCUUCAAGCUACUUCCUGGAAGGGUUUCAGCUCUUCGUUCUUCACUGACUUUGGUGACUUUAUGGUGUUUUCUUCACUUGCCUUCACCUUCCCUCUUCCUCUGACUCAGGAGAGGAUUGAUAUCUGGAGGCUUCAUCUGUUCUGGAAGGAACUUAAAACGCUAAAAGGGUUCAUCUCACCCGGGCCUUGCAGCUGGAAUUCACCUCUCGCUGUUGGUCACAUGGUCUUUGCCAGGCAGCGGCCUCAGAUGAAUUUUCGACCGCACUGGGGGGCCUGACCGAGCCACGCCACAGGGCCACCUGCAUGGAGCAGGGCUGCGGGUGGAGCAGGGCUGCAUGGCUCCAGGAUGGCUGUCUCCCGGCCCGGCCCAGGCCGAGCAGGGCCCAGCCCGGCCCCACUGGCCAUGCUGCGAGUCCCCAGUUACCUGUCCGAAAGCCGGAAGCAAGAGAGGCUUUCCCAGGCUCUGUUUGUUCUUAAAUGUGGAUCACAGAGGCGUGUCAAGCUUCUUAAGUGGCUUUAAAAAGUUGCCAAUAUUCAAACUAGCCAGUUGAUUGGUUCUGUCGAGUCAUAGAGAAAGCUGUAAGCACCUAUUUGCAAGAGAAUCACUUCUGUGGCUGAAGCCCUCUUUACUAAAAACCCAAACUAUACUAAACCAUGACAUAACUUUCUUCCACUGUUGGCCGAUCACCUUUGCAUAGUUAAUAAAAGAGAAGUGAAAAAGUGAGAUAUAGAGGUUUGCACUAACAGGCCCCAAAAUGUGCUUGUGUGCAGUCUCCUCUGGAAAUGUACCAGCACUCCAGGUCAGGUACUUCAUCUUCCCUGUGAUGAGAUCCAUUGUUUUCCCACUUCCUCUGUGCCCUUCCUUGAGCUCUGCCUUCAGAUUUUCAGUCACAUGGCACCAUCUUCACAAAACAUUAGGAAUUUUCCCCAACCAUAGCUAUUGCAUAUGUGACUUCAUCCUGGCUAAAAAGCCAAAGCAUGACCUCUCUCCCAGGUUUCCAAGGAAAGGAAAAGAAGGAGCAGAAGUGAUCUGUUGGCAAGAAUUCUUUUCUUGUACUGAGAUCCAAGGUGAUCACUCCCCUGCCCUAGUGUUACAAUUUAUUUUUUUUUGCAGCCACUAUAGAUGUUUAUACACACUAAAUGUAAUGUUUACUGUUAUGAAAGGCCAUCCAGAAGCCAAAAUACAUACCCCUCUGUCCUCCCUGGAGUAAUAGGUACAUUUUUUAUGAUAAAGCUAAAGGACUAGCUGAGUUAGCUCACAAGUCUUAAGAGACUUGUGUCUGCACCUAUUUCUGAGUAACAGACAUACAUUGCGGUAAUGUAAUUGAAACUUCUUUACUGUCUGGGCAGCUCUAUGGAGCUGGAGAUAUAGUCUUUGAAAAACUAUUGUACAACUACAGAAGUGAACUUCAAAUUUGUAGAUUUAAAAUCAUGUGCUUAUUCUCCCCUAAGUUCAGUAUGCCCAUCAAGAAGCCUUGAUUCUAAGGGUGUCAGAAAGUACAACACAUUUCAUUAUGGCGUAAAAUGAGACCUUUCUCACUCUUGCAAGAGAGAUGCUAAAACUUUUCUCUGUGGUAACGUCAGCAACUUGAAUUAAAAGAGCUGUCUUUAGUA
Corvus hawaiiensis (hawaiian crow) is the source of this 1679-nucleotide long non-coding RNA. RefSeq lists it as uncharacterized. The transcript is spliced from 2 exons. The record is from RefSeq and is a predicted model, not a curated record. Lineage: Eukaryota; Metazoa; Chordata; Aves; Passeriformes; Corvidae.